RNAcentral lists this transfer RNA (74 nucleotides) under Hyunsoonleella flava. Its description in RNAcentral is "Hyunsoonleella sp. T58 tRNA-His". It matches the Rfam family "tRNA". Rfam says of the family: Transfer RNA (tRNA) molecules are approximately 80 nucleotides in length. Their secondary structure includes four short double-helical elements and three loops (D, anti-codon, and T loops). RNAcentral also lists the same sequence under 1 other name. The record is from RNAcentral. Lineage: Bacteria; Pseudomonadati; Bacteroidota; Flavobacteriia; Flavobacteriales; Flavobacteriaceae.
GUGUCUUUAGUUUAUUUGGUAAAACGCCUCACUGUGAAUGAGAAGAACAGGGUUCGAAUCCCGAAGUCACCCCA